This 578-nucleotide ribosomal RNA is filed under the name Idriella setiformis. RNAcentral's name for it is "eukaryotic LSU rRNA". The stretch from base 222 to 375 matches the Rfam family "5.8S ribosomal RNA". Lineage: Eukaryota; Fungi; Ascomycota; Sordariomycetes; Xylariales; Microdochiaceae. The record is from RNAcentral.
UGUGCACACCCUCUCUUCUUAGUUCUCACAUUCACCUGUGCACCUCUUGUAGACCCGAGACAACUUAUCGAGGAACUCGGAUGUGAGGGUUGCGGGCUUCCUCAGAAGUCGGCUUCCCUCUACUGACUCGCGUGUCUAUGUCUUUACAAACCCUUUAUAAAAAAUGUUAACAGAAUGUCAUACAACGGUUCGCCCUAAAAAAGUGAGCUUUAAAUUAAUACAACUUUCAACAACGGAUCUCUUGGCUCUCGCAUCGAUGAAGAACGCAGCGAAAUGCGAUAAGUAAUGUGAAUUGCAGAAUUCAGUGAAUCAUCGAAUCUUUGAACGCACCUUGCGCUCCUUGGUAUUCCGAGGAGCAUGCCUGUUUGAGUGUCAUUAAAUUCUCAACCUUCCUUGUCUUUAUUGAUGAGGUAGUGCUUGGACGUGGGGGUUGCGGGCUUCCUCAGAAGUCGGCUCUCCUUAAAUGCAUUAGCGGAACCUUUGUGGACCGUCUAUUGGUGUGAUAAUUAUCUACGCCAUCGACGCGGACGCUGUUAUAUGGGGUUCAGCUCUCUAACCAUCUCGCAAGAGAUAACAAC